AGGCAUUGAGGCAGCCAGCGCAGGGGCUUCUGCUGAGGGGGCAGGCGGAGCUUGAGGAAACCGCAGAUAAGUUUUUUUCUCUUUGAAAGAUAGAGAUUAAUACAACUACUUAAAAAAUAUAGUCAAUAGGUUACUAAGAUAUUGCUUAGCGUUAAGUUUUUAACGUAAUUUUAAUAGCUUAAGAUUUUAAGAGAAAAUAUGAAGACUUAGAAGAGUAGCAUGAGGAAGGAAAAGAUAAAAGGUUUCUAAAACAUGACGGAGGUUGAGAUGAAGCUUCUUCAUGGAGUAAAAAAUGUAUUUAAAAGAAAAUUGAGAGAAAGGACUACAGAGCCCCGAAUUAAUACCAAUAGAAGGGCAAUGCUUUUAGAUUAAAAUGAAGGUGACUUAAACAGCUUAAAGUUUAGUUUAAAAGUUGUAGGUGAUUAAAAUAAUUUGAAGGCGAUCUUUUAAAAAGAGAUUAAACCGAAGGUGAUUAAAAGACCUUGAAAUCCAUGACGCAGGGAGAAUUGCGUCAUUUAAAGCCUAGUUAACGCAUUUACUAAACGCAGACGAAAAUGGAAAGAUUAAUUGGGAGUGGUAGGAUGAAACAAUUUGGAGAAGAUAGAAGUUUGAAGUGGAAAACUGGAAGACAGAAGUACGGGAAGGCGAAGAAAAGAAUAGAGAAGAUAGGGAAAUUAGAAGAUAAAAACAUACUUUUAGAAGAAAAAAGAUAAAUUUAAACCUGAAAAGUAGGAAGCAGAAGAAAAAAGACAAGCUAGGAAACAAAAAGCUAAGGGCAAAAUGUACAAACUUAGAAGAAAAUUGGAAGAUAGAAACAAGAUAGAAAAUGAAAAUAUUGUCAAGAGUUUCAGAUAGAAAAUGAAAAACAAGCUAAGACAAGUAUUGGAGAAGUAUAGAAGAUAGAAAAAUAUAAAGCCAAAAAUUGGAUAAAAUAGCACUGAAAAAAUGAGGAAAUUAUUGGUAAUUGUUUAGUUUAUGAUUGCAGAUAAACUCAUGCCAGAGAACUUAAAGUCUUAGAAUGGAAAAAGUAAAGAAAUAUCAACUUCCAAGUUGGCAAGUAACUCCCAAUGAUUUAGUUUUUUUCCCCCCAGUUUGAAUUGGGAAGCUGGGGGAAGUUAAAUAUGAGCCACUGGGUGUACCAGUGCAUUAAUUUGGGCAAGGAAAGUGUCAUAAUUUGAUACUGUAUCUGUUUUCCUUCAAAGUAUAGAGCUUUUGGGGAAGGAAAGUAUUGAACUGGGGGUUGGUCUGGCCUACUGGGCUGACAUUAACUACAAUUAUGGGAAAUGCAA
This 1289-nucleotide long non-coding RNA is filed under the name Homo sapiens (human). RNAcentral describes it as "metastasis associated lung adenocarcinoma transcript 1". Lineage: Eukaryota; Metazoa; Chordata; Mammalia; Primates; Hominidae. The record is from RNAcentral.